GCUUGACCUCAAAUCAGGUAGGACUACCCGCCGAACUUAA
Molecule: ribosomal RNA, 40 nt
Filed under: Scleroderma cepa
Lineage: Eukaryota; Fungi; Basidiomycota; Agaricomycetes; Boletales; Sclerodermataceae
Description: partial 28S ribosomal RNA
Source: RNAcentral